Molecule: ribosomal RNA, 137 nt
Filed under: uncultured bacterium
Lineage: Bacteria
Description: partial 16S ribosomal RNA
Rfam family: Bacterial small subunit ribosomal RNA
Source: RNAcentral
UGAGGAAUAUUGCGCAAUGGGCGAAAGCCUGACGCAGCAACGCCGCGUGAGCGAUGAAGGCCUUCGGGUCGUAAAGCUCUUUUACCCAGGGAAGAGAACGGACGGUACCUGGGGAAUAAGUCACGGCUAACUACGUG